This 443-nucleotide ribosomal RNA is filed under the name uncultured bacterium. RNAcentral describes it as "partial 16S ribosomal RNA". It matches the Rfam family "Bacterial small subunit ribosomal RNA", at positions 338 to 795 of the family's 1533-position model. The record is from RNAcentral.
CCUACGGGAGGCAGCAGUGGGGGAUAUUGGACAAUGGGGGGAACCCUGAUCCAGCGACGCCGCGUGAGUGAAGAAGUAUUUCGGUAUGUAAAGCUCUGUCAGCAGGGAAGAAAGAAAUGACGGUACCUGACCAAGAAGCCCCGGCUAACUACGUGCCAGCAGCCGCGGUAAUACGUAGGGGGCAAGCGUUAUCCGGAAUUACUGGGUGUAAAGGGAGCGUAGACGGUUAAGUAAGUCUGGAGUGAAAGGCCGGGGCCCAACCCCGGGACUGCUCUGGAAACUAUUGAACUUGAGUGCAGGGGAGGUAAGCGGAAUUCGUAGUGUAGCGGUGAAAUGCGUAGAUAUUAGGAGGAACACCAGUGGCGAAGGCGGCUUACUGGACUGUAACUGACGUUGAGGCUCGAAAGCGUGGGGAGCAAACAGGAUUAGAUACCCCUGUAGUC